UGAGGAAUAUUGGUCAAUGGUCGGGAGACUGAACCAGCCAAGCCGCGUGAGGGAUGAAGGUGCUAAGCAUUGUAAACCUCUUUUGUCAGGGAACAAAGGCAUCCACGAGUGGGUGUGUGAGUGUACCUGAAGAAAAAGCAUCGGCUAACUCCGUGCCAGCAGCCGCGGUAAUACGGAGGAUGCGAGCGUUAUCCGGAUUUAUUGGGUUUAAAGGGUGCGUAGGCGGCCUGUUAAGUCAGCGGUAAAAGCCCGGGGCUCAACCCGCGAGCGUGAACAUGGCUGGCUGGAGUUGGCGAUGAGGUAUGCGAAUGCGCGGUGUAGCGGUGAAAUGCUUAGAUAUCGCGCAGAACUCCGAUUGCGAAGGCAGCAUGCCGGCGCCACACUGACGCUGAGGCACGAAAGCGUGGGUAUCGAACAGGAUUAGAUACC
Molecule: ribosomal RNA, 429 nt
Filed under: uncultured bacterium
Lineage: Bacteria
Description: bacterial SSU rRNA
Rfam family: Bacterial small subunit ribosomal RNA
Source: RNAcentral